This 301-nucleotide ribosomal RNA is filed under the name uncultured bacterium. Its description in RNAcentral is "partial 16S ribosomal RNA". It matches the Rfam family "Bacterial small subunit ribosomal RNA", at positions 509 to 807 of the family's 1533-position model. The record is from RNAcentral.
CAGUAGCCGCGGGAAUACGAAGGGUGCAAGCGUUACUCGGAAUUACUGGGCGUAAAGCGUGCGUAGGUGGUGGUUUAAGUCCGUUGUGAAAGCCCUGGGCUCAACCUGGGAAUUGCUGUGGAUACUGGGUCACUAGAGUGUGGUAGAGGAUAGUGGAAUUUCCGGUGUAGCAGUGAAAUGCGUAGAGAUCGGAAGGAACAUCUGUGGCGAAGGCGACUAUCUGGGCCAACACUGACACUGAGGCACGAAAGCGUGGGGAGCAAACAGGAUUAGAUACCCCAGUAGUCCCUGUCUCUUAUAC